GACGAACGCUGGCGGCGUGCUUAACACAUGCCAGUCGAACGGAAAGGCCCUGCUUUUGUGGGGUGCUCGAGUGGCGAACGGGUGAGUAACACGUGAGUAACCUGCCCUUGACUUUGGGAUAACUUCAGGAAACUGGGGCUAAUACCGGAUAGGAGCUCCUGCUGCAUGGUGGGGGUUGGAAAGUUUCGGCGGUUGGGGAUGGACUCGCGGCUUAUCAGCUUGUUGGUGGGGUAGUGGCUUACCAAGGCUUUGACGGGUAGCCGGCCUGAGAGGGUGACCGGCCACAUGGGGACUGAGAUACGGCGCAGUCUCCUACGGGAGGCAGCAGUGGGGAAUAUGGCACAAUGGGGGGAAGCCUGAUGCAGCAACGCCGCGUGCGUGAUGACGGCCUUCGGGUUGUAAACCGCUUUCGCCUGUGACGAAGCGUGAGUGACGGUAAUGGGUAAAGAAGCACCGGCUAACUACGUG
RNAcentral lists this ribosomal RNA (468 nucleotides) under uncultured bacterium. RNAcentral's name for it is "partial 16S ribosomal RNA". It matches the Rfam family "Bacterial small subunit ribosomal RNA", at positions 28 to 507 of the family's 1533-position model. The record is from RNAcentral.